AUUUUUAAGGUAAAAUUUAAUUUUUUUGUUAAAUUGAUGAUUUUUAAUUGUAUGAAAUAAAUAAAUAUAAUAUAGACUAUGGAUUAGAUACCCUAUUAUUAAUAGAUGAAUAAAAUCUUGAGUAGUAGAUUUAUUUAAAACUCAAAGAAUUUGGCGGUAUUUUAUCAAUUUAGAGGAACCUGUUCAGUAAUUGAUAGUCCACGUUUUAUCUUACAUUAGUUUGUUGUUCAGUUUGUAUACCUCCGUUGUUAGAAAGAUUUUGAAAAAUUCUUUUAUUUUUAAUUUUAUUAAAUACUUCAGGUCAAGGUGCAGCUUAUAUUAAUGAUGAAAUGGGUUACAAUUAUUUUAAUAAUGGAUUAGUGUUUGAAACAGUACUAUGAAAUUGGAUUUAUAAGUAAUAAUUUUUAAGGAAAAAUUUUUGAAAUUAGCUCCUAAAAUGUGCCCACGCCGCGCCCG
This 456-nucleotide ribosomal RNA is filed under the name Lynceus biformis. Its description in RNAcentral is "partial 12S ribosomal RNA". Lineage: Eukaryota; Metazoa; Arthropoda; Branchiopoda; Diplostraca; Lynceidae. The record is from RNAcentral.